ACGGAGGAUCCAAGCGUUAUCCGGAUUUAUUAGGUUUAAAGGGUGCGCAGGCGGGAAGAUAAGUCAGCGGUGAAAUCCUGUAGCUCAACUACAGAACUGCCGUUGAUACUGUUUUUCUUGAGUGCGGUUGAGGUAAGCGGAAUGUGUAGUGUAGCGGUGAAAUGCUUAGAUAUUACACAGAACACCAAUUGCGAAGGCAGCUUACUAAACCGUAACUGACGCUGAGGCACGAAAGCGUGGGGAGCGAACAGG
This 252-nucleotide ribosomal RNA is filed under the name uncultured bacterium. RNAcentral's name for it is "partial 16S ribosomal RNA". It matches the Rfam family "Bacterial small subunit ribosomal RNA", at positions 525 to 776 of the family's 1533-position model. The record is from RNAcentral.